RNAcentral lists this long non-coding RNA (238 nucleotides) under Lathyrus oleraceus (garden pea). Its description in RNAcentral is "Pisum sativum (pea) long non-coding RNA (PSAT_LNC037061)". The record is from RNAcentral. Lineage: Eukaryota; Viridiplantae; Streptophyta; Magnoliopsida; Fabales; Fabaceae.
AGAAACCGAAAAUUGUAUUACAUAUCAAUGAGUCAAUUCUAUUAGGAACCAAAAAAUGUAUUUUGGAUUAGGGGACCUAAUUGAACAUGAGAGACAAGAGUGGAACUCCUUAAGGAUAUAUUCUUACCCUAUGACAGCAACAUAAUUCUUCAAAUUAGUUUAAACUCUUAAGACAAAGAUGAUAGUCUUAUGUGGAUGCCUAAGAAUGGAAAAUUAUAUGGUUAAAUAUGGAUUCCAU